CAUUGUCAGCUCUUGCCAAAAUAGCCAAGGCACCCACUCUCGCCUCAGACAGCACCUCUUUUCUGAAACUGGACUCCCAGCCUGCAGCUUUGAACUUGGGCCUCCAGGUGCAUCUGUUCUUGUUCACAGGAGCCAUAGCACAGCCUUGAUGAUAAGAAUGAGCCUGAACCAGCCCCCACCGAGCUUCAGGGUCAAAUUACAAAGGCAUCGGGAGGCUCUAUCUCUUGGCUGUACAUCCAACUUCCUGCCUUGAUGGAGCAGACACUAAAAAUGCAACAACUCUCUCACACGGGGUCCAUGGAAUAACUUGAUGUUGAGAAGAAGUCCUACUUCCCAAAAAGGAAGCAGAAUCCUCUUGCCCCUGGAGCCUAUGGGGCCAUCACAGGGCCAGGAGGUAACCUGAUCUCCAUCACCCAAGUAUCAUGCACGGAGCUGGGGCAAAACUCUGUCAAAGAUCACAAACAAAUUACUCAGUCAAAUGUAUCCGAGCCACCUCUGGUUCCUCACUUUUGUGUACAAGACAAUUGAACUUCUGAUAUUUGGUUCUGGCCCACUCAGCACUUCAGAGCCUUCAGCCGACCAUAACCCUGCCUCCCAGAGCUUAGAUCAAGCCAAAUAAGGAGCUCUACUCCUUUCCCAUAUAUCUGACCUAGCCCAUCACUGAAUUCCAUUUCUGCUAAAUACCGUGAUAGCACAGUGGGUCAGCACCCAAGUUCUGGAGCUACACUACCUGGGUUCAAAUUCUGGUUCUUAAUACUAAUAGGACCUCUAGCAAGUUAUUCGACCUGUGCCUUGGCUUAGUUUUCCCACGUGCAAAAUGGGGUUAAUAAAAACACCCAACAAAUAAAGUUGCAAGGACUCAGUGAAUUAGUACGCAGAAGGGCUCAUCAUAUUGUAAGUUGGCUAUUGGUGCUAUUUCUGGUUUGAUCUAAACACUCUCCACACCCAGAAAGAACACAUCCCAGGGCUUGCAGCAGCUCACACUGCAGACCACACUAAACAGCCCUCCCAACCCCUCUUCUCACCUAUCACCUCUCAGAGAACCAGCUAGAGACUGGCCUGGAAGCCGUUCAACAUAGACAAGGAUGCUCUUUGAAGCUGGCUGGGUAUGGCCUUAAAUAACUCACAAGCCAGCUACCUCCUCUGUUUUCCCUCAUGCCGCACAAAUGGCUUCACUAACUUCAGGCCUCACUUUGAACCCUCACAUCAUUUCCUGACAUUGCUGGUGCCUGGCCUGGAGGCAGCACCUUACACAGUAAGGAAAAGCAGCUGCUCAUUACCUCGCCUCCCCACCUCCAUUAGGAUAAAAAUCACCUCCCAAGAUGGGACUCUACAGCCAGAGGGUGAAUUGGUGACCUCAUUGCUCGGCUCACUAGGUUCCAGGCAUCCCUAAAUGCCAGUGAUCUUUCCUUUCCCUCUGAUGUGUCGAUGCCAGCCUUUCAGUGGCCAGGAUCCCUCCCCUGGCCCCCAGCCUGGUUGUAGAACCACCCUGGCGUGUCAAAGGACUCUGGAUUCCAAAUGGCAUGUUUAGAAGUGUGUUUACUGCCUGUGUUCGUGGUUUUCUACCAUCAGGACACCGACUGUUGAAAGCAAAGUUCAAGCCAGGUUGGUGCAAGUUGCAGAAGCAGAAAAAGGAUUCUACG
RNAcentral lists this long non-coding RNA (1643 nucleotides) under Homo sapiens (human). Its description in RNAcentral is "HSALNT0238898". Lineage: Eukaryota; Metazoa; Chordata; Mammalia; Primates; Hominidae. The record is from RNAcentral.